Long non-coding RNA from Humulus lupulus (European hop), 345 nucleotides. RefSeq lists it as uncharacterized. NCBI's taxonomy places the organism in Eukaryota, Viridiplantae, Streptophyta, Magnoliopsida, Rosales, Cannabaceae. The transcript is spliced from 3 exons. The record is from RefSeq and is a predicted model, not a curated record.
GUUUUAUCUCUUGUUAAGAUAUUUCUUGGUGGUUUCCAAGUGGUUUGAGGUUUAGAAAAGCUAGAAGAGAUUGUUUUCGCCGAAAAGUUGCUCGGAUAAGCACAUCAACACCUAAGACACCACUUGUUACACGGUGAAUUAUAUUUUGGACAGAAGGUAGAGAAAGAAAUGAGUGAAUGACAUAAGGAGAACUGAAGCAUGGUCCUGACCCUGAUUUGUACAUAUGAACACAUCGACCUUUUGUGGGUUAUUUCAGUUUACCAAUGUGAUAUUUGUAAUAAAGUGUGAAGUUAUGUUUUGAAAACAAAUUGGGUUAUUUAAUACUUAUGUAUAAUAUGUUUGAGA